Molecule: ribosomal RNA, 253 nt
Filed under: uncultured bacterium
Lineage: Bacteria
Description: partial 16S ribosomal RNA
Rfam family: Bacterial small subunit ribosomal RNA
Source: RNAcentral
CACGGGGGGAGCAAGCGUUGUUCGGAAUCACUGGGCGUAAAGGGCGUCUAGGCGGUCAGGUAAGUGGGAUGUGAAAUCCCUCGGCUCACCCGAGGACCUGCAUCCCAAACUGCUUGGCUUGAGUAUGGGAGAGGAUGAGGGAAUUCCUGGUGUAGCGGUGAAAUGCUUAGAUAUGACAUAGAACACCAAUUGCGAAGGCAGCUCGCUACACAUAUAUUGACUCUGAGGCACGAAAGCGUGGGGAUCAAACAGG